Cercocebus atys (sooty mangabey) is the source of this 104-nucleotide small nuclear RNA. Lineage: Eukaryota; Metazoa; Chordata; Mammalia; Primates; Cercopithecidae. The record is from Ensembl.
GUGCUCACUUCGGCAGCACAUAUACCAAAACUGGGAGCACACAGAGAUUAGUACGGCCCCUGUGCAAGGAUGGCCUGCAAAUUUGUGAAGCACUCCAUUAUUUU